GGAAGGAUCAUUCACACAUUUACAGGAGAAAGUCCCUGACUUUCUGCUGGCCCACGUACUCCAGAUGAAAACAAAGAUACUCCUAUUCUCCGAUUUUUAUGUAAAUUACAGUUUUGACAGAGGAUACAUUGACUUCUGGAACGAUGAAGAACGUAGCAAAGUGCGAUAAGUAGUGCGAAUUGCAGAAUUCAGUGAAUCAUCAAAUUUUCGAACGCAGUAGGCAAUUAUUGGUUACUCCAAUGAUUGUGCAUUCUUGACUCUAACACCAAACUUUUGACAUGUUCUCAAUCUCUGGUGUUCCUCUUCUGCUGUGGACCAAGUAUUAGCUCUCACACUGCUGCAUUAAACUAUCUGGGUAGAUUUCUGAAGGCUUUUCUACAACUUCUAGCUUACGAGUCAAGCAAGGCACGACAACCCCCUGGAUUUAAGCAUAUAACUAAGGGGAGGAAAAGAAACCAAAUCGGAUUUCCUGAGUAACUGCGAGUGAAUAGGGAAAAGUUCAAUCUUGUAAUCACAACGCUCUCUGAGUUGUGAGAUGUAGUGUAUGGAAAUUUGUUCAGAGUGUGGCACUGGUCUUCGUUCACUGAGAAGUGAUGCAGCGACAGGUGACAGCCCUAUCUUUGGCCUGAAGUCCGCCUCGUACGAACGGUUUUCUGAGAGUCGGACUGCUUGGGAGUGCAGUCUUAAUGGGAGCUAAAGUCCUUCCAAAACUAAAAAUGUCUGGAAGAUCGAUAGAACACAAGUACCAUGAGGGAAAUGUGAAAAGAACUUUGAAAAGAGAGUUAAAAGUAUUUGAAACUGUCAGAGACCAAGCGAUCAGUUUUGUUGGAUGUUUACUUCUUUUUUCCUUUUACAUGGCGUUCGUUGAGAUUCAUUUGCGUGAGUUUCACUUGCUUGCUUGGUAAGGUGGGAAGAAGUGCGGUAUGGAAAGCUGGUUGAGUUCAUUGGAUCUCCACAGUAGAAAGGUAGUAUGUGAUUGUUUCAUGAUCUUUGAAUAUCUUUUGAACGUGCAAUGUUCGUCAAUCAUGUCUUUCUAUACAAACGGAACUGAUCGGCUCGUCUUGAAACACGAACCAAGGAGUGUAACGCUUGUGCAAGUGUUUGACUACUAACAGUCUAAAACGCGAAACGAAAGUGUAGAUAAAGACUUUCUUUAUUCAGAUACAUCUCUGCUCUGCAGGUUCUGUAUCGCCCGAUAUCUUCCUUUGUGAGAAACUCGAGGAAUAGCACAAUCGAUACGACCCGAAAGAUGGUGAGCUAUACCCGCACAGGGUGAAGCCAGGGGAAACUCUGGUGAAGGUCCGUAGCGGUACUGACGUGCAAAUCGUUCGUCUGAUGUGGGUAUAGGGGCGAAAGACUUAUCGAACCAUCUAGUAGCUGGUUUCCUC
RNAcentral lists this unclassified non-coding RNA (1388 nucleotides) under uncultured soil eukaryote. Its description in RNAcentral is "sequence contains 18S rRNA gene, ITS1, 5.8S rRNA gene, ITS2, 28S rRNA gene". The stretch from base 392 to 1388 matches the Rfam family "Eukaryotic large subunit ribosomal RNA", at positions 1 to 961 of the family's 3401-position model. The record is from RNAcentral.